UACGUAGGGGGCAAGCGUUGUCCGGAAUCACUGGGCGUAAAGCGCGUGUAGGCGGCCCUGCAAGUCGGGUGUGAAAUCCCACGGCUCAACCGUGGAAGUGCAUUCGAAACUGCAGGGCUAGAGUCCUGGAGAGGAAGGUGGAAUGCUUGGUGUAGAGGUGAAAUUCGUAGAUAUCAAGCGGAACACCGGUGGCGAAGGCGGCCUUCUGGACAGUGACUGACGCUGAGACGCGAAAGCGUGGGGAGCAAACAGG
This 253-nucleotide ribosomal RNA is filed under the name uncultured bacterium. RNAcentral describes it as "partial 16S ribosomal RNA". It matches the Rfam family "Bacterial small subunit ribosomal RNA", at positions 524 to 776 of the family's 1533-position model. The record is from RNAcentral.